Molecule: ribosomal RNA, 243 nt
Filed under: uncultured bacterium
Lineage: Bacteria
Description: partial 16S ribosomal RNA
Rfam family: Bacterial small subunit ribosomal RNA
Source: RNAcentral
GAUGAACGCUAGCUACAGGCUUAACACAUGCAAGUCGCGGGGCAGCAUGUAUCUGGCUUGCCAGAUGCGAUGGCGACCGGCGCACGGGUGAGUAACGCGCAUCCAACCUGCCCAUAACCACGGCACAGCCCGUCGAAAGGCGGAUUAAUGCCGUAUGAGGUUCCAGUGUAGCAUUAUGGUGGAACGAAGGUAUUUGGCGGUUAUGGAUGGGUAUGCGUCCGAUUAGCUUGUUGGCGGGGUAAC